RNAcentral lists this ribosomal RNA (261 nucleotides) under uncultured bacterium. RNAcentral's name for it is "partial 16S ribosomal RNA". It matches the Rfam family "Bacterial small subunit ribosomal RNA", at positions 1231 to 1500 of the family's 1533-position model. The record is from RNAcentral.
UGGGGGGUACAGAAGGCCGCUACCUGGCGACAGGAUGCUAAUCCCAAAAACCUCUCUCAGUUCGGAUCGAAGUCUGCAACCCGACUUCGUGAAGCUGGAUUCGCUAGUAAUCGCGCAUCAGCCAUGGCGCGGUGAAUACGUUCCCGGGCCUUGUACACACCGCCCGUCAAGCCAUGAAAGCCGGGGGUACCUGAAGUACGUAACCGCAAGGAGCGUCCUAGGGUAAAACUGGUAGUUGGGGCUAAGUCGUAACAAGGUAAC